RNAcentral lists this small RNA (121 nucleotides) under Caulobacter vibrioides NA1000. Its description in RNAcentral is "small non-coding RNA". Lineage: Bacteria; Pseudomonadati; Pseudomonadota; Alphaproteobacteria; Caulobacterales; Caulobacteraceae. The record is from RNAcentral.
GCGAGCGGGUACGCUGGCGGCAAAUGCGCCCGUCAGGACGCGCUCCAGCCCCCGCCCAGGGCCUGGAACGACCGGAUCGCCGCGCGCGCCGCUUCGGUCCGGGCCUGGGCGCGGGCGUCGC